UACGAGGGGGGCGAGCGUUGUUCGGAAUUAUUGGGCGUAAAGGGCGCGUAGGCGGUGCGGUAAGUCACCUGUGAAACCUCUGGGCUUAACUCAGAGCCUGCAGGCGAAACUACCGUGCUUGAGUGUGGGAGAGGUGCGUGGAAUUCCCGGUGUAGCGGUGAAAUGCGCAGAUAUCAGGAGGAACACCGGUGGCGAAGGCGCCACUCUGGGCCGAAACUGACGCUGAGGAGCGAAAGCGUGGGUAGCAAACAGG
This 253-nucleotide ribosomal RNA is filed under the name uncultured bacterium. RNAcentral's name for it is "partial 16S ribosomal RNA". It matches the Rfam family "Bacterial small subunit ribosomal RNA", at positions 524 to 776 of the family's 1533-position model. The record is from RNAcentral.